Molecule: small nucleolar RNA, 115 nt
Organism: Perognathus longimembris pacificus (Pacific pocket mouse)
Lineage: Eukaryota; Metazoa; Chordata; Mammalia; Rodentia; Heteromyidae
Product: small nucleolar RNA SNORD22
Exons: 1
Source: RefSeq, a predicted model, not a curated record
UUCCAAUGAAGGACAAUUCACAAGGCUGUACCUCCUUUGUCUUAGCUCCAAAGUCUGUAAAGAUGAACUCACUAAAGCUAGCUGGGGUAAAAGAGGAAAGAAGAGUUGGAGGGGU